UACCAGCUCUCCGAGUGGUAGGGAUGAUUAUUGGGCUUAAAGCGUCCGUAGCCGGCUUAGCAAGUUUCCUGUUAAAUUCAGCGACCUAAUCGUUGAGCCGCGGGAAAUACUACUAGGCUAGGAGGCGGGAGAGGUCAACGGUACUUCCGGGGUAGGGGUGAAAUCCUAUAAUCCCGGGAGGACCACCAGUGGCGAAGGCUGUUGACUAGAACGCGCUCGACGGUGAGGGACGAAAGCUGGGGGAGCGGACCGGAUUAGAUACCCGGGUAGUCCCAGCUGUAAACGAUGCGAGCUAGGUGUUGGGAUGGCUACGUGCCAUUUCAGUGCCGCAGGGAAGCCAUUAAGCUCGCCGCCUGGGGAGUACGGCCGCAAGGCUGAAACUUAAAGGAAUUGGCGGGGGAGCACCACAAGGCGUGAAGCUUGCGGUUC
Molecule: ribosomal RNA, 429 nt
Filed under: uncultured archaeon
Lineage: Archaea
Description: bacterial SSU rRNA
Rfam family: Archaeal small subunit ribosomal RNA
Source: RNAcentral